Mandrillus leucophaeus (drill) is the source of this 849-nucleotide RNA transcript. It is a transcript of the gene named non-histone chromosomal protein HMG-17 pseudogene, with no coding region annotated. The record is from RefSeq and is a predicted model, not a curated record. The transcript has a single exon. NCBI's taxonomy places the organism in Eukaryota, Metazoa, Chordata, Mammalia, Primates, Cercopithecidae.
AUGACCCCCCGACCGAUCAAAGCCCACUUGUGGCUGCAUCCCGGGCCCAGUGUCUAAGACCUGCUGCUGUCACCGCCACCACCAUGCCCAAGAGGAAGACCGAAGGGGAUGCUAAAGGAGAUAAAGCCAAGGUGAAGGACACACCACAGAGAAGAUCCACGAGGUUGUCUGCUAAACCUGCUCCUCCAAAGCCAGAACCCAGGCCUAAAAAGGCCCCUGCCAAGAAGGGAGAGAAGGUACCCAAAGGGAAAAAGGGAAAAGCUGAUGCUGGCAAGGAGGGAAAUAACCCUGCAGAAAACGGAGAUGCCAAAACAGACCAGGUCAGGAAAGCUGAAGGUGCUGGAGAGGCCAAGUGAAGUGUGUGCAUUUUUGAUAACUGUGUACUUCUGGUGACUGUACAGUUUGAAAUACUAUUUUUUAUCAAGUUUUAUAAAAAUGCAGAAUUUUGUUUUACUUUUUUUUUUUUUUUCCAGCUAUGUUGUUAGCACACAGAACACUUCAUUGCUGUUUUUUGGGGAAGGGGCAUAUGUCACUAAUAGAAUGUCUCCAAAGCUGGAUUGAUGUGGGGAAAACACUUUUCCCUUCUGGUUUUGGGAGACUUCCUCUUGGCUCCCAGGAGGAGGAAUUCCCUGACUUUCAUACACAUGACCACCUUGGCACAAAAGCCUUAGGGUAUGGAAAAACCAAUUCAUUUUUAUGUCCUCUUCUCCCUGUCCAUCUUUCAGCAUAGACUUAACUCUCUUAAGCCUAGACAUCUGUUGGGACCUGAUCCCCAGUCAUUUGUUACCAGUGCAUCAGGCAAUCUGGACUUUCCAGGGAUGCCACUGAGAGGACACCUGUCUAAACAGC